GAUCAAGUGUAGUAUCUGUUCUUAUCAGUUUAAUAUCUGAUACGUCCUCGAUGGAGGACUUAUAUUAAACGGAUUUUUGGGCGCGGGAGUUGGGUGCGGGGCUCGCUCCCCCCGCUCCGCGCAUCGCCCCGGCCCUGCAGUGCCGCCGGGCGCGGUGCCGCCCCU
This 165-nucleotide small nuclear RNA is filed under the name Falco tinnunculus (common kestrel). Its description in RNAcentral is "U2 spliceosomal RNA (ENSFTIG00000002999.1)". It matches the Rfam family "U2 spliceosomal RNA", at positions 25 to 192 of the family's 192-position model. Rfam says of the family: U2 is a small nuclear RNA (snRNA) component of the spliceosome (involved in pre-mRNA splicing). Complementary binding between U2 snRNA (in an area lying towards the 5' end but 3' to hairpin I) and the branchpoint sequence (BPS) of the intron results the bulging out of an unpaired adenosine, on the BPS, which initiates a nucleophilic attack at the intronic 5' splice site, thus starting the first of two transesterification reactions that mediate splicing. The record is from Rfam by way of RNAcentral. Lineage: Eukaryota; Metazoa; Chordata; Aves; Falconiformes; Falconidae.